Molecule: ribosomal RNA, 372 nt
Filed under: uncultured organism
Description: bacterial SSU rRNA
Rfam family: Bacterial small subunit ribosomal RNA
Source: RNAcentral
CGUAGGGGGCGAGCGUUGUCCGAAGUUACUGGGCGUAAAGCGCACGUAGGCGGUUAUCUAAGUCUGGGGUGAAAGGUUCAGUGCUUAACGCGAACAGUGCCUUGGAGACUGGAUGACUUGAGUUUGGGAGAGGGUAGUGGAAUGGCUGGUGUAGCGGUGAAAUGCGUAGAUAUCAGUCGGAACACCAAUGGCGAAGGCAGCUACCUGGCCUAAAACUGACGCUGAGGUGCGAAAGCGUGGGGAGCGAACGGGAUUAGAUACCCCGGUAGUCCACGCCGUAAACGAUGAGUGCUAGGUGUCGGGGGUAUCGACCCCCCGGUGCCGUCGCUAACGCUUUAAGCACUCCGCCUGGGGAGUACGGCCGCAAGGUUG